Molecule: long non-coding RNA, 1536 nt
Organism: Passer domesticus (house sparrow)
Lineage: Eukaryota; Metazoa; Chordata; Aves; Passeriformes; Passeridae
Exons: 3
Source: RefSeq, a predicted model, not a curated record
CUGACCAGGCUGAAGUACAUUCCUCUGUCCCUCAGGCUCUCUCACCGUACCCAAAAAGAUGACCCAAUUUAGACAGAACUGGUGUAUUUGCUGUGCUUGGCCCUAGUGGAAAAGAAGCUCUGGAGGCACCAAGCACAGAGCCAUCCUCCCCUCAUCAAGGACAAGAUGGCUGCUGGUGUGGCCAUUGUUCCUCACAAAAUGUCCACCGUGGUGAUCCCACAGCAAAAUCUCUGCCAGUGCAGGCAUUACAAAAGUUCAGCUGGCUUUUUAUAAUUUUGCUCUUGCCCAUGCCAGGAGUUUAUUCUCUGUUGUUGCAAAUGUGGUCUCUGCCUGCUGAAGGGAGGUGGGCCUGGCACUUCCCUUCAGGGUGCGUUAAUAAUCCUCCCACAAGGGCAAUGUGAGGAGGAAAGAUCACAGGCUCCCAGCCUCACUGGCCCUUCUCUCACUGCAAAGGAAACUCCAGGCUGCAUUUUUCCUAAAGUGCCAUUUUCUGGAGGCAUGCCAUUAGAUGUUGUUUCAUUCAAGAUACAUGCUUCUAAUCUUACAGGAAAUGCAGAGAUCCUGCUAUCAUCUACAGCCCUCCUGAGACCUCAGUUAGAGCAUCAUUGUCAUCCACAAUUAAGAAAGACCAAUUCUAACUGAAAGAAUAAUGAAGGCCAACACAGUGAUGUUAUGAGUGGAGAACCUGUCUUUAAGUGGAGUAACUAAAAGAGUUUGUCUCAGGAAAACAAAGAUUAAAUCUUGUAUGGUUACUUGGCCUAAAUAUAUUGGCACCUAUGCUCCAGAGAGAUAUAAGUACUGAGUACCUAAAUGUGGGUAAGGAACAAUCAGUUAUUUACAGACUUUGAGGGCUGAAAAUUGCAAUGUGAAUAUAUAAUCAUUAGAUUUUGGAAUAAGAGGAAAUAGAGAUAUGACAAUGGAUAAGAUGGAAGGGAGAAUAUUAGAGAAUAUUAGAGUUAGGACAAUGGAGUUUGUUUUCUGAAAAUGGAUUUUGAUUAGUUUAUGAAAAGAGCUAUUCAAAUGCCUCUUGAAGAUCUCAAUAAAUUUGAUUUGGUGACCCAGAAACUUCCCAGUUUUGUGCUCUCACGACGAACUAGCUGCCAUAAAACAAAGGUUACACAGAAUGAGUCUUACCUAUGAAUAAUAGGCAUUUUAUCUCUAUAUUGCUUGUUUAUUGCUUGUUGGAAUGUGUUUGGACUCAAAUCCAGUUAAGUGUUUAGGGUCUCUUAUUAAUCUACUAAGUUCCUACUAGAUUCAAUAAUUACUUUAUUUGGGAAUGAAGGCACUUUAAAAAGAUUUAAGGAGCUCACAUUUCAAAUGGAAACUCUGUCACAUACAACACAGGAAAAGGGCAAGAUAAGAACACAGGGAGGAUGAUCUUGUAAAGAACAGAGCAGUGUUGUCCAUAAUAAACCUUUAUCCGCUUUAAAGAAUUCCAAAGCUGAAAGACCUCUAACUUUACCUGCACUGUAUUAAAAAAAAAAAAAAAUUACCUACAAUAUUAACCUCAAUAACAAGUAUUGUACUUGACUAUAA